CACUAGAUGGCUGAAAGUAAGUAAUGGUCUCUUAAACCAAUUUAUAGUAAAUUGACACCUAC
Molecule: transfer RNA, 62 nt
Filed under: Nicrophorus podagricus
Lineage: Eukaryota; Metazoa; Arthropoda; Insecta; Coleoptera; Silphidae
Description: tRNA-Lys
Source: RNAcentral